Long non-coding RNA from Dendroctonus ponderosae (mountain pine beetle), 543 nucleotides. RefSeq lists it as uncharacterized. NCBI's taxonomy places the organism in Eukaryota, Metazoa, Arthropoda, Insecta, Coleoptera, Curculionidae. The transcript has 2 exons. The record is from RefSeq and is a predicted model, not a curated record.
UGUGUGUGUUGUAAAGUGAGAGUCCAAAUGUGGCAAUUUUACUUGACGGAACGCCAUCGGUAGUCCAAGCACGGGAAAAGACACUAGCUAUUAGGCGAUGUGUUUGUUUAAUGGACAUUAAUUAGGUUCGAUUAAUAUGCAUUAUUUUUAAAUUUGCUUUAUUCUUUGUUUACGAUUGUGCAAUGCACGAGUUGUGCUUCAAAACUUACCUCCUCCAAAGCCGCCGCCUCCUCCACCUCCGUGAUGAUCAUCGUGGCCUCCUCCAAAACCUCCGCCUGAAAAUACAAUUUUGUUUCAGCCUUGUUAAGUGUUUUAUUUUUUUUUCUGUUUAUUUCAUUAUCUAGUGGAAUUCUACCUGUGUUCAUGUAAUUAUUUUAAAGAAAAACAGAAUCAGCCAAUUAAAUGCUGCUUGUUUCGAGCGAGAACAUUUUUUUAAGCAGAUUUUGUAGAUUAAAUUUAAAAUUUGAUUGUAUUUGUUUUUAAUGUUAAGGUUAAGGCUAAUGGUUAUUGGUGUUGAGUUUAAUAAAUUUGUUGCUUUUUAAA